GUGGGGAAUAUUGGACAAUGGGCGAAAGCCUGAUCCAGCCAUGCCGCGUGAGUGAUGAAGGCCUUAGGGUUGUAAAGCUCUUUCAGUAGGGAAGAUAAUGACGGUACCUACAGAAGAAGCCCCGGCUAACUUCGUGCCAGCAGCCGCGGUGAUACGAAGGGGGCUAGCGUUGUUCGGAUUUACUGGGCGUAAAGCGCACGUAGGCGGAUUGGUCAGUUAGAGGUGAAAUCCUGGAGCUCAACUCCAGAACUGCCUUUAAUACUGCCAGUCUAGAGUCCAGAAGAGGUGAGUGGAACUCCUAGUGUAGAGGUGGAAUUCGUAGAUAUUAGGAAGAACACCAGUGGCGAAGGCGGCUCACUGGUCUGGUACUGACGCUGAGGUGCGAAAGCGUGGGGAGCAAACAGGAUUAGAUACCCUAGUAGUCC
RNAcentral lists this ribosomal RNA (425 nucleotides) under uncultured bacterium. Its description in RNAcentral is "partial 16S ribosomal RNA". It matches the Rfam family "Bacterial small subunit ribosomal RNA", at positions 354 to 796 of the family's 1533-position model. The record is from RNAcentral.